UGCUUAUUUGAGAAUAACUUGCCUUACCCUGCUUCCUAUUUUAGGUUCUCAAGUACUUGCUUUCUAUAGCCAGAGACUAAGAAUUCAAAAAAGUUGAACCGAGUAAUUUGAUGCUUGAAUAACACAUGGUAGUAUUAUCCGUUUGAAUGAUUUUGUAUGUUGUAUGUGAUUUAUGUUCAUGAUCCUGAUCCUGACUUUAUAUGAUUAUGCAUAUGUUAUAUGUGAUACCUUGAACGUGAUUAGGUAUAUGUUAUACAAAAUACCAUGAGCUAAAAUGUUGAUCAAGUAUUAUGAAGUCAUUGAAUGUAUAAAAAUGUUACGGUGCAUCAUAUCACUUUACUAAUGGUUUAAAAUUGUGAGCGUGCAUAACCAUAGUAACUUGGGGGUGCAUCAAUGGACAUGCUUAGUGAGUCCACGUGCAUGAUGUAUGCGAGCAAGAAUUAUUAUGCAUGCAACCGUGUCUAGAAAUGAAGGUAGAGUUCAACAACAAUCAUGAAUUUAGGUUUCAACAGUCAUGAUAUUUGUUUUAUGAUAUAUGUUUUAUGUGUUGAGCAGUAAUUUAAUAUUCAAAUCUCAUUUCUAAUAUUGUUCGGGACAAUGACAAGAGAACACUUGUUGACUUGUUGAAUAGUGAUGAAUCUCAUUGUUUUCUAA
Cucurbita maxima (winter squash) is the source of this 654-nucleotide long non-coding RNA. RefSeq lists it as uncharacterized. The record is from RefSeq and is a predicted model, not a curated record. The transcript has 2 exons. NCBI's taxonomy places the organism in Eukaryota, Viridiplantae, Streptophyta, Magnoliopsida, Cucurbitales, Cucurbitaceae.